Non-coding RNA from Punica granatum (pomegranate), 707 nucleotides. The record is from RefSeq and is a predicted model, not a curated record. NCBI's taxonomy places the organism in Eukaryota, Viridiplantae, Streptophyta, Magnoliopsida, Myrtales, Lythraceae.
AGGCUCGGAGCAAAUUGACCAUCUUGCCCUUUCACAAUUUAUAUAUGUUUGUGCAUGAAUGCUCCAAAUUGUGGGGCUAUUUGUGCUUAUGAACGUUCCAAAGGCAUGAAAAAGCAGUUACGGAAGUCGUUCGCCACAAAGAUUCGGUGAUAUUCGGCAUCUGUUUGGGUUAGCAUUUCACGCGGCAUCGAGAAGUAAAAGUUGUCCGCUCGUCAAAUGAUCGGAAGCCAAGUCGAUUUUGCCGGCAUGCGUUCCAUUAUUGCAUGCUGUGAAGAUAAGCUAACCAGCAUCAUCCUCGGGGCGCAACCUCACAUGUCAGUUUUUCAGGGCAAAUGAUGCAGUGCCCCGAUAAGCGGGGUCAAGGGCAAGAAGUUUGCACAAGAGACCAAACGAUGAGGCAGGAAAAUCCUUGAAGGUACCACGAUAACUUGGUUGAUAGUGUGGGGGUGGUCGAAAGCUAGUCUGAAGCUUCAUCUUCUUCCAGUAAUCCUCCGAGGGUGCACCACAAAGCUUGAAGAUCCUAUGCAGCUGCUCGACCUGAAUGCAGGAAAUACGUAAUAAGCAUGACUGCUCUACCCAAUCGAGAAAACAGGAGAUCAAGUUUAUUUUUUUAUUUUAGCUCAUGAAGGAAAAUCGCAAUUGAAAGUGGUGGGUUGAUGGCAGAACAAGAAUAUUCUACAAUGACUGCCGCCCUCUUACUCUCCAAA